UACAGAGGUGCCAAGCGUUAGGCGGAAUCACUGGGCUUAAAGCGCGUGUAGGCGGGUCGUUAAGUGUGCGGGGGAAAUCCCACGGCUCAACCGUGGAACUGCCGGGCAUACUGGCGAUCUUGAGGCAUUCAGGGGCGAGCGGAACAAAUGGUGGAGCGGUGAAAUGCGUAGAUAUCAUUUGGAACGCCAAUGGUGAAAACAGCUCGCUGGGAAUGAUCUGACGCUGAGACGCGAAAGCCAGGGGAGCGAACGGG
RNAcentral lists this ribosomal RNA (254 nucleotides) under uncultured bacterium. RNAcentral describes it as "partial 16S ribosomal RNA". It matches the Rfam family "Bacterial small subunit ribosomal RNA", at positions 524 to 776 of the family's 1533-position model. The record is from RNAcentral.